This 363-nucleotide transfer-messenger RNA is filed under the name Escherichia coli. It matches the Rfam family "transfer-messenger RNA". From Rfam's summary of the family: Bacterial tmRNA, also known as 10Sa RNA or SsrA, is named for its dual tRNA and mRNA-like properties. Its role is to liberate the mRNA from a stalled ribosome. The record is from RNAcentral. Lineage: Bacteria; Pseudomonadati; Pseudomonadota; Gammaproteobacteria; Enterobacterales; Enterobacteriaceae.
GGGGCUGAUUCUGGAUUCGACGGGAUUUGCGAAACCCAAGGUGCAUGCCGGGGGGCGGUUGGCCUCGUAAAAAGCCGCAAAAAAUAGUCGCAAACGACGAAAACUACGCUUUAGCAGCUUAAUAACCUGCUUAGAGCCCUCUCUCCCUAGCCUCCGCUCUUAGGACGGGGAUCAAGAGAGGUCAAACCCAAAAGAGAUCGCGUGGAAGCCCUGCCUGGGGUUGAAGCGUUAAAACUUAAUCAGGCUAGUUUGUUAGUGGCGUGUCCGUCCGCAGCUGGCAAGCGAAUGUAAAGACUGACUAAGCAUGUAGUACCGAGGAUGUAGGAAUUUCGGACGCGGGUUCAACUCCCGCCAGCUCCACCA